CGCCUCCCGGCAGUUCCGGUGGGUCCGUCCCCCCCCGCCUGGGCCGGCGCCGCCACACGGGCGGCUCUGAGCGCGCCCGGCCGAGCCAUGGCCCAGCCCGCCGGGGCCCCCACCGGCCAGCAGCCCUACAGCAACGGCCCUGUUCAGAAUCAGCUGAUGCAUUCCCCAGAUGGCCAGGGAUACAGCCCUGCGGUUCCAGGAUCGUACUCCCAUCAGAUGCCGGCCAAGGUUCCUCCACAUCAGUCUUCUGGACAGUAUAGCUAUAGUGGCUCUCAGAAUGUUUCUCAAUUAAACAAUUACCAAGGACCUGGCCAGACUCUCAACAGACCACCAGUGGCAGCUUUCUCCGGGUCACCAGUACAACAGCCAGGUCCUGUUCCACAAGGGCUGCUGCCUGUAUUACAGAACUCAGCUGCUGUAUCAUCUGCUGGGAGCUUUCCUCCUGGAGCCAGCCCACCGGUGCUUUCAAACUGGCAGUACAGCCAGCCUCCUGUGAGUCAGCCACUUGGGGCUCAAACAAGCCCUUUGGCUGGUGUGCCUGGGACAGGGUCAGCUCAGCCACCAUCGUCAUUACCAGGAAGUACAAAUCCUGCAGGGAGUUAUCAAUAUGCUGCUUCUCCAGGGGCUCCUCUGCUGCAGAAUAGCUACAUGAAGCCAGGAUCUGCGCCUCCACCAGUGACUCAGCCUUUAACUCCACUCCACCCUCCAAGGCCACCUUUAGGACCUCCACCAGUUGGGGGCUCACCUAGGCCAUCAACAGCGGUAGCAGGACCACCUAGCGCACAGUUUCUGCAAAAAUCAGCUGCAAACCAAGAAGGUGAUGCCAUGCCUGCUGCCAGUGAUGGGUCUGUAGUGCAAAACAGCUACGAUGCUAUAGAAGGUGGUGGCCUCAUGGCAGCUCCACAUUAUUCUCCUGCAGCCCCAAAUCUUAAAAUGAAUAGAAGUGUUGGGUAUUCUUACCCUGCCUUACCUCCAGGCUACCAACAUACUUCUCCACCUGGAGCACCAGGAAUGAAUGCAUCUGCUUUGCAAUAUCCAGAUGGAUCAAAACAUUUCCACCAGCCUGCCAUGGGCACUAAUCACUUAACUGCAUCAAUGGGUGGCCUGAGUCUACAGCAAGAAGGGUUAAGACCUGUGAAUCUUCUUCAAGAAAGAAAUAUUCUUCCUACCACCCUUUUGAAGGCUCCUGUCCCCAACUUGCAUGAAGACAUCCAGAAGCUCAACUGCAAUCCUGAGUUGUUCCGCUGUACCCUGACUAACAUUCCUCAAACUCAGGCCUUAUUGAAUAAAGCCAAACUUCCUUUGGGGCUCCUGCUUCAUCCUUUCAAAGACUUAUCGCAACUGCCAGUGGUCACUUCCAGUAUUAUUGUGAGAUGCCGUUCCUGCCGGACGUACAUCAACCCUUUUGUCAGCUUCCUAGACCAAAGGAGAUGGAAAUGCAAUUUGUGCUAUAGAGUCAAUGAUGUUCCUGAAGAAUUCCUGUAUAAUCCUGUGACAAGAGUUUAUGGAGAACCUCAUAAAAGACCUGAAGUCCAGAAUGCUACUAUUGAGUUUAUGGCUCCAUCUGAAUACAUGCUGCGUCCACCUCAACCACCCGUGUACCUCUUUGUGUUUGAUGUCUCUCACAAUGCAAUAGAGACAGGAUACUUGGAUACAGUCUGCCAGACCUUGUUAGACAAUCUUGAUUCGCUUCCUGGGAACACUAGAACAAAAAUAGGCUUCAUAACGUUUGACAGCACAAUCCAUUUCUAUGGUCUUCAGGAAGGUCUCUCUCAGCCUCAGAUGCUUAUAGUUUCAGAUAUUGAAGAUGUAUUUAUACCAAUGCCAGAAAACUUAUUAGUAAAUUUAAAUGAAAAUAAAGAGCUAAUUCAAGAUCUGCUGAAGACAUUGCCACAGAUGUUUACCAAGUCCCUGGAAACUCAGAGUGCUCUGGGGCCUGCAUUACAGGCUGCCUUUAAACUGAUGUCCCCCACUGGAGGUAGAAUCACUGUCUUCCAGACACAGCUCCCAUCUGUGGGAAUGGGAGCACUGAAGUCACGAGAAGAGCCAAACCAAAGAGCAACAGCAAAGGAUAUACAUUUGACACCAUCGACUGAUUUUUACAAGAAGCUGGCCUUGGACUGCUCAGGGCAACAGGUUGCAGUGGAUUUAUUUCUUCUUAGUGGGCAAUAUUCUGACUUGGCUUCUCUAGGUUGUAUAUCAAGGUAUUCUGCAGGUAGUGUCUACUACUACCAGUCUUACCAUCGUAAACACAACCCUGUCCAGGUGGAGAAAUUGCAGAAGGAACUGAAGCGAUAUUUAACUAGAAAAAUUGGGUUUGAGGCUGUCAUGAGGAUAAGAUGCACAAAAGGUCUUUCCAUUCAUACUUUCCAUGGGAACUUCUUCGUACGAUCUACAGACUUGUUGUCAUUACCCAACGUAAACCCAGAUGCAGGAUACGCUGUGCAAAUGUCAGUGGAAGAGAGUCUUACUGAUAUGCAAGUUGUUUCUUUUCAAUCAGCUCUCCUGUACACCUCCAGCAAAGGUGAAAGACGAAUUCGUGUCCACACCAUGUGCUUACCUGUUGUCACAACACUGAGUGAUGUGUACCUAGGGGCAGAUGUGCAGGCCAUCACAGGGCUCUUAGCCAAUAUGGCUGUGGACCGCUCCGUUUCCGCUACACUGAGCGAUGCUCGGGAUGCCCUGGUCAAUGCAGUGAUAGAUUCUUUAGCUGCUUAUCGCUCAUCCGUGCUGAGCAUCCAGCAGCCUGGGCUCACAGCUCCCUACUCACUGCGCCUCUUCCCACUUUAUAUACUGGCACUCUUAAAACAGAAAGCAUUUCAAACUGGGACAAACACACGUUUGGAUGAACGCAUCUUCACCAUGUGUCAGGUGAAAAACCAGCCCCUUGUUUACCUCAUGCUCAUGACACAUCCCAGUCUGUACAAAGUCGAUAAUCUCACAGAUGAGGGGGCUCUUAACAUAAAUGACAGAACUAUACCUCAGCCACCCCUUCUCCAGCUGUCAGUGGAGAAGCUGAGUAGGGAUGGUGCUUAUCUUAUGGAUGCUGGCUCUGUGAUGUUUCUGUGGAUUGGGAAGAACUGUGGGCAGGGCUUUAUCACCCAAGUCCUUGGAGUUCCAAAUUAUGGCUCAAUACCACAGAAUAUGACACAUCUCCCAGAACUUGAAACGGCAGAAUCCAUCAGAACACGAGCUUUCAUUUCUUGGCUGAGAGAACAGAGACCUUUCUUUCCUAUACUAUAUAUAAUAAAGGAUGAGAGUCCACUGAAAUCAAGUUUUCUGCAAAAUAUGAUUGAAGACAGAACAGAAUCAGCCUUAUCAUACUAUGAAUUCCUCCUUCAUAUACAGCAGCAAGUGAAUAAAUGAAACACAAGCCUUUGGCUUACUUCUUUAAGGAAAGAUUUUGCAGUAAAGAAUGAUUGUGCUUAUAAUAUCUUCAUUAAAUCUGUGGCCUGAGGCAGUUGAUGAGAAGUUCUCACUGUGAUUUCAACGAACUAAAGCAAAUAAAGGACCACAUCUGAGAAUCAAAUGUGCAACUACAUAUUGUACCUUAAAAAAAAUCAAACUGUUGGAACUGGUUGAGCACCUUUAAUUUGCUGCAAAUCGUGUUUUUACUAUAUAAAACCUCACAAUACUGAUCAUGAUUUGCAGGGAAAUUCUUUCUAAGUGCAUCCAGUGAUUACAGACAGAGCAUCUCAAUGUUCAACUUAAUGCUUAAAAUAGCAAUGAAAGAAGUGUUCAUUGUGAAAUGAACAAAUGCUUGUGAAGUGUAGAAUCCAGUGCUUGGAUUGGAUUAUGGCUAAUAGGACUAAAGUGGAGAAGGCCUGCUCUGCUUCACUUGUACUGCUCUAAUGGCAAUACAGGGAACAUGAACACACACACUACUUGUGAUUGCUUUUUUACAUACAAUUGAAAAAUGAGGACCCUGAAGAUGGACUGCAAAAGUAGGCAAGAAUGGUUUGGUACUUAGAUCUCAGCACAACUCUACCACUAUAAAUGUGUGGUAGAGGUGUGUUUCUCUUUGUAGUCAAACACUUUUUUAAAAACUAUUUCUGUAUUUGACACAUUAGUGUUCAGCCAACAUUGUUACCAUCCAUUUUAUUUUACUUUCAUUAUUAUUUUUAAAUUAAUAUAUUUGAGUCUAAGUCCACAUAGACUGUGUUGCAAUAAUUAGAAUGAUUCACUUUUAUUUAGAGUUAAUUUCUUAACAGAAUUUAAUCAAAGAUGCAGAAUGGCUGUUAAGUUAAGGGACCAUUAAAUGUGAUUUUAAGGUUCUGUUUACUAUUCUGGAUGUAAUCCUUAUAGUAAAUUUAAUUUUGUAAAGUAGUGUAUAAUAUUGUAAUAUUAAAUCUUUGUUCUCUGAACUCAAAGAUUUGAUCUUCAGUAUGAAGUUAUAAAUCUUUCCCCUUCUGAAUUUGAGACAGGAUUUACUUGUCCUCCUUUUUACAGUUUGUAAUUUUCACUGUUUUAUUCCUGUAAAAAGUCAUUUAUAACACAUGCAAAUGCUUAUUUUAUCUGUGCUAAUUUAUCAGAUUU
RNA transcript from Ficedula albicollis (Collared flycatcher), 4536 nucleotides. It is a transcript of the gene named SEC24 homolog A, COPII coat complex component, with no coding region annotated. NCBI's taxonomy places the organism in Eukaryota, Metazoa, Chordata, Aves, Passeriformes, Muscicapidae. The record is from RefSeq and is a predicted model, not a curated record. The transcript is spliced from 25 exons.